UCCUGUGCGAACGUCCAGAAG
RNAcentral lists this microRNA (21 nucleotides) under Prunus persica (peach). RNAcentral describes it as "ppe-miR8133-5p". The record is from miRBase by way of RNAcentral. Lineage: Eukaryota; Viridiplantae; Streptophyta; Magnoliopsida; Rosales; Rosaceae.